AUGCCUAGCUUUCCGUCCUCUCCCAGGGAUGGAGCGGCUUCUCCAGCCGCCCACCUGGACAUGCAGUCAGUCUGCCGACGCGCUGCGACCAGGCUCAACAUCCCUUGGCCCACCAUGGUCACUGAAGCUGUCAGAUCCCGCUACGAGGGAAAGAAGCUGCCUCAGGCCACAAGGGCGGCAAAGCCUCUCCUGCCCGCCUUCCCGGAGCUCCUCCAAGAAGUGAGAUCCUCCUGGGACAAACACCCUUUCAGCUCCAGGUUUCCUGUCCAAGGAGCCUCCUCGCUGGACUUCGAAGGGAUGGAGAAGGCUGGCAUGCUUCGCAUGCCGCCGAUGGUACCGCUGGUUGCAGCUCACCUGCACCCACGGCUCUCGGCAACUUCCUCCAGGCCUCCCGCUCUCCCUGCAAAGGUAGACCGCUUCCAGUCGGCGCUGAACGAGAGGGCGUACAAGGCUGUCGCCAUCUCGGUCCGAGCUUUGAAUGUCUCCUCCAUGCUCUCGGCGUACCAAGCCAAGCUCUGUGAGGACAUGAAUACGAAACCAGACCCGGAGGUGUGGGAGGAAAUCACCGUACUGACCGUCAUCUGCCUGCGGGUGCAGCGUUGCGCGGUCCAGGCCACAGCUAAAGCUAUGGGCACGACGGUGCUUCAGGAACGUGCACGAUGGCUGAACCUCACCAACCUCUCUGAUAGAGAGAAGGAGGACAUUUUGGACAGGCCAAUUGUGCCUGAAGGCAUUUUUGGCUCUGCAUUGGCAUCAGUGCAACAACGGUGUGAGGCAAAAAAGAAAGAGGAUGAAGCCCUUCAACUCUGCCUUCCCCGUAAACCUUCACCUGCUCUGCCGGCUCAGCCGACUUUUCCUCAGGCAGCUGCCCGAACCCAGCCUCAGUUCCGGGUCCCAAAGCGCCCGAAGCCUCAAGCAGUCCAACCAGCUCCUUCGGGCUCAGCGCCUCGACCAGUUUGGCCUCAGAGGUCCGGCAACCAAGCCGCUCUGCCACCGGGACAACCCACCUGGCCCGGCGGUCAGCAGGUGAGAAAGAAGAAAAGAGCAGCCUGA
This 1053-nucleotide long non-coding RNA is filed under the name Nothobranchius furzeri (turquoise killifish). RNAcentral describes it as "lncRNA (ENSNFUG00015021200.1)". The record is from RNAcentral. Lineage: Eukaryota; Metazoa; Chordata; Actinopteri; Cyprinodontiformes; Nothobranchiidae.